RNAcentral lists this ribosomal RNA (1452 nucleotides) under uncultured organism. RNAcentral's name for it is "SSU rRNA". It matches the Rfam family "Bacterial small subunit ribosomal RNA". The record is from RNAcentral.
CAGGAUGAACGCUAUCUACAGGCUUAACACAUGCAAGUCGAGGGGCAGCAUGGUCUUAGCUUGCUGAGGCCGAUGGCGACCGGCGCACGGGUGAGUAACACGUAUCCAACCUGCCGUCUACUCUUGGACAGCCUUCUGAAAGGAAGAUUAAUACAAGAUGGCAUCAUGAGUCCGCAUGUUCACAUGAUUAAAGGUAUUCCGGUAGACGAUGGGGAUGCGUUCCAUUAGAUAGUAGGCGGGGUAACGGCCCACCUAGUCUUCGAUGGAUAGGGGUUCUGAGAGGAAGGUCCCCCACAUUGGAACUGAGACACGGUCCAAACUCCUACGGGAGGCAGCAGUGAGGAAUAUUGGUCAAUGGGCGAGAGCCUGAACCAGCCAAGUAGCGUGAAGGAUGACUGCCCUAUGGGUUGUAAACUUCUUUUAUAAAGGAAUAAAGUCGGGUAUGGAUACCCGUUUGCAUGUACUUUAUGAAUAAGGAUCGGCUAACUCCGUGCCAGCAGCCGCGGUAAUACGGAGGAUCCGAGCGUUAUCCGGAUUUAUUGGGUUUAAAGGGAGCGUAGAUGGAUGUUUAAGUCAGUUGUGAAAGUUUGCGGCUCAACCGUAAAAUUGCAGUUGAUACUGGAUAUCUUGAGUGCAGUUGAGGCAGGCGGAAUUCGUGGUGUAGCGGUGAAAUGCUUAGAUAUCACGAAGAACUCCGAUUGCGAAGGCAGCCUGCUAAGCUGCAACUGACAUUGAGGCUCGAAAGUGUGGGUAUCAAACAGGAUUAGAUACCCUGGUAGUCCACACGGUAAACGAUGAAUACUCGCUGUUUGCGAUAUACUGCAAGCGGCCAAGCGAAAGCGUUAAGUAUUCCACCUGGGGAGUACGCCGGCAACGGUGAAACUCAAAGGAAUUGACGGGGGCCCGCACAAGCGGAGGAACAUGUGGUUUAAUUCGAUGAUACGCGAGGAACCUUACCCGGGCUUAAAUUGCAGAUGAAUUACGGUGAAAGCCGUAAGCCGCAAGGCAUCUGUGAAGGUGCUGCAUGGUUGUCGUCAGCUCGUGCCGUGAGGUGUCGGCUUAAGUGCCAUAACGAGCGCAACCCUUGUUGUCAGUUACUAACAGGUUCCGCUGAGGACUCUGACAAGACUGCCAUCGUAAGAUGUGAGGAAGGUGGGGAUGACGUCAAAUCAGCACGGCCCUUACGUCCGGGGCUACACACGUGUUACAAUGGGGGGUACAGAGGGCCGCUACCACGCGAGUGGAUGCCAAUCCCAAAAACCUCUCUCAGUUCGGACUGGAGUCUGCAACCCGACUCCACGAAGCUGGAUUCGCUAGUAAUCGCGCAUCAGCCACGGCGCGGUGAAUACGUUCCCGGGCCUUGUACACACCGCCCGUCAAGCCAUGGGAGCCGGGGGUACCUGAAGUGCGUAAACGCGAGGAGCGCCCUAGGGUAAAACUGGUGACUGGGCC